Molecule: ribosomal RNA, 1311 nt
Filed under: uncultured organism
Description: 16S ribosomal RNA
Rfam family: Bacterial small subunit ribosomal RNA
Source: RNAcentral
AGUGGCGCACGGGUGAGUAACGCGUAGGUAACCUGCCAUGAGGUUCGGGAUAGCCGUACGAAAGUAUGAUUAAUACCGGAUGUGCUCUUUUGAGUAAAGAUUUAUCGCCUUAUGAUGGGCCUGCGUUAGAUUAGCUUGUUGGUAAGGUAACGGCUUACCAAGGCAACGAUCUAUAGCCGGGUUGAGAGACCGGCCGGCCACAUUGGAACUGAGACACGGUCCAGACUCCUACGGGAGGCAGCAGCUAAGAAUCUUCCGCAAUGGACGAAAGUCUGACGGAGCGACGCCGCGUGAAUGAUGAAGGCCUUAUGGGUUGUAAAAUUCUUUUAUAGAGGACGAAUGUAUGGCGUAGGCCAUGUUGACGGUACUCUAUGAAUAAGGUCCGGCUAACUACGUGCCAGCAGCCGCGGUAGUACGUAGGGACCGAGCGUUGUUCGGAAUUAUUGGGCGUAAAGGGUACGUAGGCGGUCUAAUAAGUCAGAUGUGAAAACCUCGGGCUCAACCUGAGGCCUGCGUCUGAUACUGUUAGGCUAGAGUUAUGGAGAGGAAGGCGGAAUUCCUGGUGUAGGGGUGAAAUCUAUAGAUAUCAGGAAGAACAUCGGUAGCGAAGGCUGCCUUCUGGACAUAAACUGACGCUGAUGUACGAAAGUUAGGGUAGCAAACAGGAUUAGAGACCCUGGUAGUCCUAACUGUAAACGUUGUAUACUAGGUGGUGGCAUUUUGAUCGUGUCACUGCCGUAGCUAACGCAUUAAGUAUACCGCCCGGGGAGUAUGCCGGCAACGGUGAAACUCAAAGGAAUUGACGGGGGCCCGCACAAGCAGUGGAGCAUGUUGUUUAAUUCGAUGAUACGCGAGGAACCUUACCAGGUCUUGACCUUAUACCUGAAUGUUGUAGAAAUACAUCAGCCUUCGGGCAGGUAUACAGGUGCUGCAUGGUUGUCGUCAGCUCGUGCCGUGAGGUGUUGGGUUAAGUCCCGCAACGAGCGCAACCCUUAUUCUUUGUUGCUAACAGUUCGGCUGAGCACUCUAAGGAGACUGAAGAUGACAAACCGGAGGAAGGUGGGGAUGACGUCAAAUCAUCACGGCCAUUAUGACCUGGGCUACAAACGUGCUACAAUGGGCGGCACAAAGAGUUGCGAUACCGCGAGGGUGAGCUAAUCUCAAAAAACCGUCCUCAGUUCGGAUUGGAGUCUGAACUCGACUCCAUGAAGCUGGAAUUGCUAGUAAUCGCAUAUCAGCCAUGACGCGCUGAAUACGUUCCCGGGCAUUGUACACACCGCCCGUCACAUCACCCGAAUUGAUUAUACCCGA